Molecule: long non-coding RNA, 431 nt
Organism: Myotis myotis
Lineage: Eukaryota; Metazoa; Chordata; Mammalia; Chiroptera; Vespertilionidae
Exons: 4
Source: RefSeq, a predicted model, not a curated record
AUCCUGCGCUAGAAUGUGGACCUUGAUUUUUACCCUCCACCAUCUGUGAUCUUCAGAUUCGCCAGUACCUUCCAACAGGGCCUGUGCCCAAGAGAAAGGUGGUGUGUACCAUGCAGGGGGCCGGCUGUCCUGAAAAGCUGAAACCAACAGACAGGACUUGCCUCAAGCUCAUUCAGGAAGAAUUGCUUAAUGGACAAAAAGGACAAGAUAUGGUGACAUGAAGUAAUUCCUGGCAAAGCCCAAGAAGGAACCAAGAGCACAGGCACCUUCUUCGUGGCUUAAUCGGCCACUUAGGGCUCUCCGCCGACAGCACCCAAUCCUAACCUUGGACUUCAACUCCAACCCUGUCUUCCUGAUCAUCAGACCGCCUUCUUGAGCCCCUGACAAGGGAAUCCACAGCUCCCUCUGCCCAUGCAUACCCUCUCACAGUG